RNAcentral lists this ribosomal RNA (1494 nucleotides) under Triticum aestivum (bread wheat). RNAcentral describes it as "partial small subunit ribosomal RNA". Lineage: Eukaryota; Viridiplantae; Streptophyta; Magnoliopsida; Poales; Poaceae. The record is from RNAcentral.
AUGGACCUCGCCACAGGGGCCAUGGGCAGCCUGCUCCUCAAGCUUGGCCAACUUCUCAAGGAGGAGUACAAGCUGCAGACCGGUGUCAAGGAAGAUGUUGAGUAUCUAGAGAGAGAGCUAAAGAGCAUGCAUGCUGCCCUCCGCAAGGUUGGGGACGUGCCGCGAGACCAGCUCGACGAGCAGGUCAAGCUCUGGGCCAACGAAGUUAGGGACUUGUCGUUCAUAAUGGAGGACAUCGUCGACAAGUUCCUGGUGCGCGUCGAGGGAGUUGAGCCUGCCAUCAAGCCGCGCAAACUCAAGAAGGUCAUGAAGAAGAUGGGGAACUUGUUCAGCAAGAGCAAGACUCGCCAUGAGAUCUCGGAUGAGAUCAAAGACAUCAAGCUCCGCGUCAAGGAGGCGGCUGACCGACGUGAUAGGUACAGGGUCCACGACAUGGUUACUAAUCUAGCUGGUCCAACCACAGUUGAUCCUCACCUAUUGGCUCUGUUCAAGCACCAGAAAGAGCUUGUUGGUAUUGAUGAUUCAUUGAAUGAUCUAACCAAGAAGAUGGGUGAUGGGGAUUUUGAUGUGUCCAAGCAACUGAAGAUACUCUCUAUUUUCGGAUUCGGAGGCCUGGGCAAGACAACUCUUGCCAAAGCAAUGUAUGAUAAGCUCAAAGCGCAGUUUGAUUGCAGUGCUUUUGUUCCGGUUGGACAAAAUCCUAGCCUGAAGAAACUUCUCAAUGACAUUCUCUUUGGAAUUGACAAGCUAAAGCAUCGGGAUUCUACCUUAUUGUCAUGGGAUGAAAGGCAGUUGAUCGACGAACUUCGACUAUUACUUGAGAACCAGAGGUACUUGAUUGUCAUUGAUGACAUAUGGGAUAAAAAAACAUGUGAACUAGUCAAGUCUGCUUUGGUGUGUAACAAUUGCGGAAGCAGGAUAAUCACAACUACACGUAUACUCGAAGUUGCCACAAUGGCCAGUGAAGUAUACAAGCUACAACCACUUUCUCUUGAUUUAUCCAAGGAUUUAUUUCAUAGAAGAUUAUCUUGCGCUGCAAUAGAAUGGCAUAAUCAUCUUCCAGCAGAGGUAUACGAUAAAAUUUUACAUAAAUGUGGUGGUGUACCAUUGGCUAUAAUCACUAUAGCUAGUUUGCUUGUCAGUAAAUAUGUGAAGCUUUGGUCUAAGGUAUACACUUCAAUUGGUUUUGGGCAUGAAGAAAAUGAAGACGUGGAGAACACGAGAAAAAUACUUUUAUUUAGCUAUUAUGAUCUACCUUGUCACCUAAAGACAUGCUUAUUGUAUCUGAGCAUCUAUCCUGAAGACCAUCUGAUUGAAAAAGAUAGUUUGAUAUGGAAGUGGGUCAGCGAAGGUUUUAUCCACGAGGAACCAGGGGUAGGACUAUUCGAGAUUGGUGAGAGGUACUUCAAUGAGCUAGUGAACAAAAGCAUGAUAAUGCCUGUAGAGGAAGAUGAGUAUAAUGGCAUCCUAACUGGUGUCGUCUCCAUGACAUAA